UUUCCGUAGGUGAACCUGCGGAAGGAUCAUUACUGAAUUUUGAAUGAAGUUGUUCUGGUCUUUCGGGGCAAGUGAACGCUUCUCUCAAUCCAUCUUACACCUGUGCACCUAUCGGGGAAGACUUGGAUCUAAGUUGGGUCACGACGGCGAUCUACAGUCUCCUCUUUCUACCAAAUAACAGUUUUAGAAAGUCUUUUUUGCUUGCUGCAAACUUAAAUAAAUACAACUUUCAGCAACGGAUCUCUUGGCUCUC
RNAcentral lists this unclassified non-coding RNA (253 nucleotides) under plant metagenome. Its description in RNAcentral is "partial contains small subunit ribosomal RNA, internal transcribed spacer 1, and 5.8S ribosomal RNA". The record is from RNAcentral.